CUCCCGCGGUGUUGAAGUGAAAGCCCGAUCCGCAGUUGAUCUCUUUGCUUCAGAUGGGGGAGCUGCUCUCAGCGUCUGGAGGAAGCUCUCUGCACUUCAGCUUCGGGGAGCUCGCAACGUCACCGCAUGCCUGCACUCGGCUUGUCCGUGAAAAAAAAGCGAGGGCAGUCCGCAAGCGCCAGCGGAACUGAGAUUCCUUUCUAAUGAUCCAACUAUUCCAGUUAUUAUGGAAAUUGUUACACAAUGCCGAGGUGAGGAAAGACAGCAACCCUCGGAGAGGAAUUAAUGCAUUUCAAGGCAAAGGCUUGUAUGUUCCAGUACUCCUAUGCACUGCUUCCAUAGUAACUGCAAGAUGGUCGCUGGAGGAGACUGAACAUGGCCUUGAAGGAUCACUUUGAGAGCCUGCAGGCCCAGCUUCAGACUGUAUCGCAUUAGCAUGGAUGCUGGAAUCCGGACUGGCUAGAUGGUCAAUUGCUGCCAGCCAUGAACAGCCUUCACAGUGCUUCAUUGGAAUUAGUAGCUUAUAUUCCUUUAUAUUGUACUAUAUUACAUCAGCACUUGUCUGAUCAACUGUCAUUGUAACUGCAGUUGGAAGAAUAAAACUGCACGGGUUGCAUCCUGAACAUGUUAUACCCCAUCUAAGGGAGAGCUUUUUUUUCCUUAAUGCCCAGUAUAGCAUAACAUCUUGUCAUU
This is a long non-coding RNA of Chiloscyllium plagiosum (whitespotted bambooshark), 693 nucleotides long. RefSeq lists it as uncharacterized. The record is from RefSeq and is a predicted model, not a curated record. Lineage: Eukaryota; Metazoa; Chordata; Chondrichthyes; Orectolobiformes; Hemiscylliidae.